Molecule: ribosomal RNA, 420 nt
Filed under: uncultured archaeon
Lineage: Archaea
Description: partial 16S ribosomal RNA
Rfam family: Archaeal small subunit ribosomal RNA
Source: RNAcentral
CUACGGGUGGCUGCAGUUAGGAAUAUUUUACAAUGCACGCAAGUGUGAUAAAUUGAGUUGGAGUGCUUUCCAUUGGAAAGCUUUUGCCAAAUGUAAAUAGUUUGGCGAAUAAGGACUGGGUAAGACGAGUGCCAGCCGCCGCGGUAAUACUCGCGGUCCAAGUCGCAGCCAUUUUUAUUGGGUCUAAAACAUCCGUAGCUUGCUUAACAAGUUCUCUGUGAAAUCCUGUUCCUCAAGUUCAGGGCGAGCAAAGAAUACUAUUAAGCUAGAGACUGGAAGACGGAAGGAGUACGUUUGAAGUAGCGGUAAAAUGUGUUAAUCUCAAACGGACUAACAAUAGCGAAGGCACCUUUCGAGGACAGUUCUGACAGUAAGGGAUGAAGGCUAGGGGCGCAAAACGGAUUAGAUACCCCAGUAGUC